UCAUUCAUAUUAUUGUCACGUAAGCUC
Molecule: non-coding RNA, 27 nt
Filed under: Bombyx mori (domestic silkworm)
Lineage: Eukaryota; Metazoa; Arthropoda; Insecta; Lepidoptera; Bombycidae
Source: RNAcentral